Molecule: ribosomal RNA, 333 nt
Filed under: uncultured eukaryote
Lineage: Eukaryota
Description: partial 18S ribosomal RNA
Rfam family: Eukaryotic small subunit ribosomal RNA
Source: RNAcentral
CCCUUAGAUGUUCUGGGCCGCACGCGCGCUACAAUGGUCUUCGCAAACGGAUGCAUUCUCGAAGGAGAAUGCCAAUCUUGGAAUCUAUGCCUUGGUCGGGACAGUUGCUUGCAAUUUUUCGACUCGAACCAGGAAUUCCUUGUAAUCGUGAUUCAUCACAUCACGAUGAAUACGUCCCUGCCCUUUGUACACACCGCCCGUCGCUACUACCGAUUGGAUGGUUUAGUGAGACCCUCGGAUCGGUCCCGACUCGGGGUGGGCUUCUGCCCCGGUCGUGGUUUCGCCGAGAAGACGGUCAAACUUGACUAUCUAGAGGAAGUAAAAGUCGUAACA